GUGGGGAAUCUUGCGCAAUGGGCGAAAGCCUGACGCAGCCAUGCCGCGUGGAUGAUGAAGGUCUUAGGAUUGUAAAAUCCUUUCACCGGUGAAGAUAAUGACUGUAGCCGGAGAAGAAGCCCCGGCUAACUUCGUGCCAGCAGCCGCGGUAAUACGAAGGGGGCUAGCGUUGCUCGGAUUUACUGGGCGUAAAGGGCGCGUAGGCGGACAUUUAAGUCAGGGGUGAAAUCCCGGGGCUCAACCUCGGAACUGCCUUUGAUACUGGGUGUCUUGAGUAUGAGAGAGGUGUGUGGAACUCCGAGUGUAGAGGUGAAAUUCGUAGAUAUUCGGAAGAACACCAGUGGCGAAGGCGACUCACUGGCCCAAUACUGACGCUGAGGCGCGAAAGCGUGGGGAGCAAACAGGAUUAGAUACCCUAGUAGUCC
This 425-nucleotide ribosomal RNA is filed under the name uncultured bacterium. RNAcentral describes it as "partial 16S ribosomal RNA". It matches the Rfam family "Bacterial small subunit ribosomal RNA", at positions 354 to 796 of the family's 1533-position model. The record is from RNAcentral.